Cyprinodon tularosa is the source of this 748-nucleotide long non-coding RNA. RefSeq lists it as uncharacterized. The transcript is spliced from 2 exons. Lineage: Eukaryota; Metazoa; Chordata; Actinopteri; Cyprinodontiformes; Cyprinodontidae. The record is from RefSeq and is a predicted model, not a curated record.
AUAAAAAAAAAACAUAAAUAUAUUGCCUGGAAGUUAGUAAGGAAUUGAAAUAAAUACUAAAUAAAAUUGUAUUUUAAGCCUGCAUUUAUAAAGCUGGAGCUCCUCUCAUCAAACUUGAUGAAUUAGGAACAAAAAUACAGAACUAAAGUUAUAGUCAAACUGACUUAAUUAAUUUUAGUCUGUUUUCAUUAAGACACCUGAGAUGCUUUGAUGAGCUCGAUAGCUCAGUGUGAAAAACAGCUGAUCCCAGGCUUUUCUCUACAUUCAGUCUGUUCCUCGGCUUGUUUUUGAUGUGCGUCAAAGCUGAAGGUGUACUCAAACAUAUAAGAAAACUUGCUUUUUGGUUGAUAAAAGCUUUUUAUAAUUUUUCCGUUGGGUCAUCAAAAAGCAAAACAGAUCCCAGCCCUCUUUUAUUUUACCGCCUAAGAAAUUUUAUUAGUUUCAUGUACUCCUUCUAAUGCACUCGCUGGCCACUAGGGGUAUGAGUACCCCUGUUUGAAAAUCCCUGCCUUAGACCAUUUCUAGAUACUGCACCUUCUGAAAAAAAUCCAAGUUUGAGUUUGAGCUGAUUUUCUGAUGUUUCUAACUUUACCUUUUAUCCUUUUGACAAUAAGUUCUGCUUGCUGCAUUUUUACUUUCUAAAAUUAUCUCUUUGUAAUGUUGGGCAAAGUUGCUGUUCAACUUUUCUCUAUAGGGUGAGGCACAUGACUUUAACAAUCCCACAAUUUAUAAAACAAUUUAAUACCUA